AGACUGCGUUUGAAACUGGUUAUCUUGAGUGUAACAGAGGAGAGUGGAAUUCCUAGUGUAGUGGUGAGAUACGUAGAUAUUAGGAAGAACACCAGUGGCGAAGGCGACUCUCUGGGUUAACACUGACGCUGAGGUACGAAAGCUGGGGGAGCGAACGGGAUUAGAUACCCCGGUAGUCCCAGCCGUAAACGAUGGAUACUAGGUGUUGGAGGUUCGAAUCCUUCAGUGCCGGAGUUAACGCAUUAAGUAUCCCGCCUGGGGAUUACGGUCGCAAGACUGAAACUCAAAGGAAUUGACGGGGGCCCGCACAAGCGGUGGAGCAUGUGGUUUAAUUCGAAGCAACGCGAAGAACCUUACCGAGAAUUGACAUCCCGUGACCAUCUAUGAGAGUAGA
Molecule: ribosomal RNA, 394 nt
Filed under: uncultured bacterium
Lineage: Bacteria
Description: bacterial SSU rRNA
Rfam family: Bacterial small subunit ribosomal RNA
Source: RNAcentral